Molecule: long non-coding RNA, 905 nt
Organism: Phragmites australis (common reed)
Lineage: Eukaryota; Viridiplantae; Streptophyta; Magnoliopsida; Poales; Poaceae
Exons: 7
Source: RefSeq, a predicted model, not a curated record
GGCUGAACACCCACCCAUUGCUGUUGCUGUUGCUGUACGCAAGGAAGAAGAACGGGAAAGGAGGAGGAAGAAGAGAGGAAAGAGUGGGAAGAGAAGGGGAUUCCCCCAGGGAUCCUCACUGUGGUGCUAAAAUAAGUUUUUACAAUUGAUAUGGUGGUGAUGAAAUGUAUGUCAGCUAUUAAAGUAAGACUACUACUUGCAGAUGGUGUGUGGUCAUGAGUAGGGGAGGUGUUGCCGAAAUUUGAAUUUUUUCUGGCAGGCUUACAUUUUAUUAGGUUGGUUGUGUAGUCUUCCGAGCGAGAGGCAUGUAUGGGUGUUACAUUAAUUUUGACCGAUUACUAUUAGCCAUAUGUGAUGAGCUAUGAUCUAUAUAUGGAACUGAAGGUAAAACCCUUUCCUCGAAAAAGGAAUCACCAAAACUGAAGCACAUCCAAGUGGCGAUUGUGUCCUCCGACAAUACUCACAAGCAGAUCAAAACUUGAGAGCAAAAGACUGCAUCCUAAAGAUUAUCAAGGAUGCUGACAUGCUUUGCGGUCCGACCUACAUUUUACGAGCAUAAUGGAUGCAAUGAAAGAAUAUGAAAGCUAGGUAUCUCAAGGUUUUGACUUAUUGAAGUGACUUUAGUGGAGGGUCCGAAGCAAGCCUUGAAAUGCUUGACUGAGUGCUUGGAUGGAGGAGCAAAGGAGUGCAUCCUAAAGCCUAUCAAGGAUGCUGAAAUACUUUGCAGUCCGAUCUACAUGUGAUGAGCAUGAUGGAUGCAAUGAAAGAAUAUUCAAUGUAACUCUCAUUUUGGUGUCAUGUAUCGAGUAAUUUAUUAUUCAUUAUUUAGAUACAAUGAUGUAUAGUCUUCUUCUAUCUUACCAUGUGUUUGAUACAUUUGAUGUGCUACGUGUUGGAUUCGCUUG